AUACCGCAUACGUCCUACGGGAGAAAGGGGGCUCCGGCUCCCGCUAUUGGAUGAGCCUAUGUCGGAUUAGCUAGUUGGUGAGGUAAAGGCUCACCAAGGCAACGAUCCGUAGCUGGUCUGAGAGGAUGAUCAGCCACAUCGGGACUGAGACACGGCCCGAACUCCUACGGGAGGCAGCAGUGGGGAAUAUUGGACAAUGGGCGCAAGCCUGAUCCAGCCAUGCCGCGUAUGUGAAGAAGGCCUUCGGGUUGUAAAGCACUUUCAGCGAGGAAGAACGCCUAGUGGUUAAUACCCAUUAGGAAAGACAUCACUCGCAGAAGAAGCACCGGCUAACUCCGUGCCAGCAGCCGCGGUAAUACGGAGGGUGCGAGCGUUAAUCGGAAUUACUGGGCGUAAAGCGCGCGUAGGUGGCUUGAUAAGCCGGUUGUGAAAGCCCCGGGCUCAACCUGGGAACGGCAUCCGGAACUGUCAAGCUAGAGUGCAGGAGAGGAAGGUAGAAUUCCCGGUGUAGCGGUGAAAUGCGUAGAGAUCGGGAGGAAUACCAGUGGCGAAGGCGGCCUUCUGGACUGACACUGACACUGAGGUGCGAAAGCGUGGGUAGCAAACAGGAUUAGAUACCCUGGUAGUCCACGCCGUAAACGAUGUCGACCAGCCGUUGGGUGCCUAGCGCACUUUGUGGCGAAGUUAACGCGAUAAGUCGACCGCCUGGGGAGUACGGCCGCAAGGUUAAAACUCAAAUGAAUUGACGGGGGCCCGCACAAGCGGUGGAGCAUGUGGUUUAAUUCGAUGCAACGCGAAGAACCUUACCUACUCUUGACAUCCUGCGAACUUGUGAGAGAUCACUUGGUGCCUUCGGGAACGCAGAGACAGGUGCUGCAUGGCUGUCGUCAGCUCGUGUUGUGAAAUGUUGGGUUAAGUCCCGUAACGAGCGCAACCCUUGUCCUUAUUUGCCAGCACGUAAUGGUGGGAACUCUAAGGAGACUGCCGGUGACAAACCGGAGGAAGGUGGGGACGACGUCAAGUCAUCAUGGCCCUUACGAGUAGGGCUACACACGUGCUACAAUGGCCGGUACAAAGGGUUGCCAACUCGCGAGAGUGAGCUAAUCCCGAAAAGCCGGUCUCAGUCCGGAUCGGAGUCUGCAACUCGACUCCGUGAAGUCGGAAUCGCUAGUAAUCGUAGAUCAGAAUGCUACGGUGAAUACGUUCCCGGGCCUUGUACACAC
This 1223-nucleotide ribosomal RNA is filed under the name Halomonas sp. RNAcentral's name for it is "bacterial SSU rRNA". It matches the Rfam family "Bacterial small subunit ribosomal RNA", at positions 166 to 1390 of the family's 1533-position model. The record is from RNAcentral. Lineage: Bacteria; Pseudomonadati; Pseudomonadota; Gammaproteobacteria; Oceanospirillales; Halomonadaceae.